Molecule: ribosomal RNA, 253 nt
Filed under: uncultured bacterium
Lineage: Bacteria
Description: partial 16S ribosomal RNA
Rfam family: Bacterial small subunit ribosomal RNA
Source: RNAcentral
GACGUAGGGCGCGAGCGUUGUCCGGAUUUAUUGGGCGUAAAGAGCUCGUAGGCGGCUCGUUGCGUCGGCUGUGAAAACCCGCAGCUCAACUGUGGGCUUGCAGCUGAUACGGGCGGGCUGGGAUUCGGUAGGGGAGACUGGAAUUCCUGGUGUAGCGGUGAAAUGCGCAGAUAUCAGGAGGAACACCGGUGGCGAAGGCGGGACUCUGGGCCGAUACUGACGCUGAGGAGCGAAAGCGUGGGGAGCGAACAGG